Molecule: non-coding RNA, 72 nt
Organism: Chytridium lagenaria
Lineage: Eukaryota; Fungi; Chytridiomycota; Chytridiomycetes; Chytridiales; Chytridiaceae
Source: the annotation of a GenBank genome assembly
GCACCGAUAGCUCAGUGGUAGAGCGGCUGAUUGCAGACCAGCAGGUCACCAGAUCAACCCUGGUUCGGUGCU